GACGUAGGGCGCAAGCGUUGUCCGGAUUUAUUGGGCGUAAAGAGCUCGUAGGCGGCUUGUCGCGUCGACUGUGAAAACCCGCGGCUUAACUGUGGGACUGCAGUCGAUACGGGCUAGCUAGAGUUCGGUAGGGGAGACUGGAAUUCCUGGUGUAGCGGUGAAAUGCGCAGAUAUCAGGAGGAACACCGGUGGCGAAGGCGGCUCUCUGGACCACAACUGACGCUGAGGCGCGAAAGCCAGGGGAGCAAACAGG
RNAcentral lists this ribosomal RNA (253 nucleotides) under uncultured bacterium. Its description in RNAcentral is "partial 16S ribosomal RNA". It matches the Rfam family "Bacterial small subunit ribosomal RNA", at positions 524 to 776 of the family's 1533-position model. The record is from RNAcentral.